CCUACGGGGGGCUGCAGUGGGGAAUAUUGGACAAUGGGGGCAACCCUGAUCCAGCCAUGCCGCGUGUGUGAAGAAGGCCCUCGGGUUGUAAAGCACUUUCAGUGAGGAAGAACGCCUGGUGGUUAAUACCCAUCAGGAAAGACAUCACUCACAGAAGAAGCACCGGCUAACUCCGUGCCAGCAGCCGCGGUAAUACGGAGGGUGCGAGCGUUAAUCGGAAUUACUGGGCGUAAAGCGCGCGUAGGCGGCUUGAUAAGCCGGUUGUGAAAGCCCCGGGCUCAACCUGGGAACGGCAUCCGGAACUGUCAAGCUAGAGUGCAGGAGAGGAAGGUGAAUUCCCGGUGUAGCGGUGAAAUGCGUAGAGAUCGGGAGGAAUACCAGUGGCGAAGGCGGCCUUCUGGACUGACACUGACACUGAGGUGCGAAAGCGUGGGUAGCAAACAGGAUUAGAUACCCCAGUAGUC
This 464-nucleotide ribosomal RNA is filed under the name Vreelandella stevensii. RNAcentral's name for it is "partial 16S ribosomal RNA". It matches the Rfam family "Bacterial small subunit ribosomal RNA", at positions 338 to 795 of the family's 1533-position model. Lineage: Bacteria; Pseudomonadati; Pseudomonadota; Gammaproteobacteria; Oceanospirillales; Halomonadaceae. The record is from RNAcentral.